CACCGGGGGGAACAUGUGGUUUAUUCGAUGCAACGCGAAGAACCUUACCUACUCUUGACAUCCAGAGAACUUUCCAGAGAUGGUUUGGUGCCUUCGGGAACUCUGAGACAGGUGCUGCAUGGCUGUCGUCAGCUCGUGUUGUGAAAUGUUGGGUUAAGUCCCGCAACGAGCGCAACCCUUAUCCUUUGUUGCCAGCGGUUAGGCCGGGAACUCAAAGGAGACUGCCAGUGAUAAACUGGAGGAAGGUGGGGAUGACGUCAAGUCAUCAUGGCCCUUACGAGUAGGGCUACACACGUGCUACAAUGGCGCAUACAAAGAGAAGCGACCUCGCGAGAGCAAGCGGACCUCAUAAAGUGCGUCGUAGUCCGGAUUGGAGUCUGCAACUCGACUCCAUGAAGUCGGAAUCGCUAGUAAUCGUGGAUCAGAAUGCCACGGUGAAUACGUUCCCGGGCCUUGUACACACCCGCCCCGUAA
This 474-nucleotide ribosomal RNA is filed under the name Salmonella enterica subsp. enterica serovar Heidelberg. RNAcentral describes it as "bacterial SSU rRNA". It matches the Rfam family "Bacterial small subunit ribosomal RNA", at positions 924 to 1399 of the family's 1533-position model. Lineage: Bacteria; Pseudomonadati; Pseudomonadota; Gammaproteobacteria; Enterobacterales; Enterobacteriaceae. The record is from RNAcentral.